This 491-nucleotide ribosomal RNA is filed under the name uncultured bacterium. Its description in RNAcentral is "partial 16S ribosomal RNA". It matches the Rfam family "Bacterial small subunit ribosomal RNA", at positions 29 to 506 of the family's 1533-position model. The record is from RNAcentral.
AGUGAACGCUGGCGGUAGGCCUAACACAUGCAAGUCGAACGGCAGCACAGUAAGAGCUUGCUCUUACGGGUGGCGAGUGGCGGACGGGUGAGGAAUACAUCGGAAUCUACUUUUUCGUGGGGGAUAACGUAGGGAAACUUACGCUAAUACCGCAUACGACCUACGGGUGAAAGCAGGGGAUCUUCGGACCUUGCGCGAUUGAAUGAGCCGAUGUCGGAUUAGCUAGUUGGCGGGGUAAAGGCCCACCAAGGCGACGAUCCGUAGCUGGUCUGAGAGGAUGAUCAGCCACACUGGAACUGAGAGACGGUCCAGACUCCGACGGGAGGCAGCAGUGGGGAAUAUUGGACAAUGGGCGCAAGCCUGAUCCAGCCAUACCGCGUGGGUGAAGAAGGCCUUCGGGUUGUAAAGCCCUUUUGUUGGGAAAGAAAAGCAGCAGGUUAAUACCCCGCUGUUCUGACGGUACCCAAAGAAUAAGCACCGGCUAACUUCGU